Molecule: ribosomal RNA, 402 nt
Filed under: uncultured bacterium
Lineage: Bacteria
Description: bacterial SSU rRNA
Rfam family: Bacterial small subunit ribosomal RNA
Source: RNAcentral
UGGGGAAUCUUGCGCAAUGGGCGAAAGCCUGACGCAGCCAUGCCGCGUGAAUGAUGAAGGUCUUAGGAUUGUAAAAUUCUUUCACCGGGGACGAUAAUGACGGUACCCGGAGAAGAAGCACCGGCUAACUACGUGCCAGCAGCCGCGGUAAUACGUAGGGUGCGAGCGUUAAUCGGAAUUACUGGGCGUAAAGCGUGCGUAGGUGGUGGUUUAAGUCUGCUGUGAAAGCCCUGGGCUCAACCUGGGAAUUGCAGUGGAUACUGGAUCACUAGAGUGUGGUAGAGGGAUGCGGAAUUUCUGGUGUAGCAGUGAAAUGCGUAGAUAUGCGGAGGAACACCGAUGGCGAAGGCAAUCCCCUGGACCUGUACUGACGCUCAUGCACGAAAGCGUGGGGAGCAAACA